RNAcentral lists this long non-coding RNA (396 nucleotides) under Mytilus galloprovincialis (Mediterranean mussel). The record is from RNAcentral. Lineage: Eukaryota; Metazoa; Mollusca; Bivalvia; Mytilida; Mytilidae.
CUCCCUGAUCUAAAUUUGAUAAAUAAAUACACAGAACAAAGAGAAAUGCAAUUGGAAAAUACACUUCCCUUUCAUCAGGGACAUAUAUAUAUAUAUAUAUCUGCUUUCAUCAAUCUACAUUGACAUUGGACUCCUUGUAACACAUUUAAUUUAAAUUAAAACACUUUAACAGCAAGAAUUAAUACCAAAUUAUGAAACGAUCUGCAUACAUGGUUAGUAUAAUACUAUUAUAUAGAGUAAUGUCAUUGUUUGUUUCUCUCCAUUUUUGGUAAAAAAACAGUAUUAAUUCCAAUUUUAAUUUUUAAUUUUUUUUCGACCUCCUACCCUAUAUUUUUUCAUUAUUUUUAUUUUUAAUUUUUUUUCGACCUCCUACCCUUCCUUUUUUAAGAAAAAUCC